GGCAGCUAGGAAUUGACAAUACCAUCGAUUCUCUUUUUGUUCAAAACCAAAUCGUAUGAAGACUGGCAUCACGAGACAGUUUUCUGCAGGUUGGUGAACCUCUGCCCCUUUUCUACUUUUCAGAGACUCUGCUACUCGAAGGGACUACAGCUCAAUUCAGCAGCAGCCUCGCCAGCUGUCUACCACAAAGCAGUUACCUCAUAUGAGGUUAGAUAUGAAGAAUCAAGAGACAUUGUAACCUUUAAACACUUUCCUGGCCAGGCAGCUGUGAUGAAAAUAUAGUUCCUAAAGGUCCUUCAGAUGCUUUUCUGCAGUUCAUCGAUGUGCAUGAAAAAACAUUAAAGAUAUCACAGGUGCCAGAAAGCAAUUUUCUUCCUGUAUUGGUGAUGGCAUAUUUUGGAGUGUUCAGACUGACUGACCUGCCUUGGGACACAAAUGUGUUGCCUUGCUGGUAAUCUCUUAUGUCAGAGCUCUGCUAUGAUAAAGGAAUGCUGGAGUUCUUACACAGUAUAUCAAAAAAUGAAAUUAAAACCAUGAAUUCAAAAUGUUGCUUGACACACGUUAAAAGUUAAAGGGCUGUGUUUUUUUUCUUCUCAAUGACAGUGAGAUUUGAUGAUUUGAGUGAGUCGUUAUUGUCGGGUGCUUUUUUACUCUUGUCACAUCUCAGUGCCCUCAACUUGCUCCUGAUCAGAUCAUUAUCAUAGCACCGUAAAUUAUCAGCAUGCCCACUCAUUGCUAUGGCUGAUUGUACACCAGAAUAUAAUUAAACCAGUGCAGAUCAUUAUUAAACACAUAUAGUAGCACGGCUGAUUGCAACAGCUGCAGGCUUCUAUUUGUAGCAUUAACACGUUAGACACUUUUAUGAUGAUACCGCAGGAAUCCAGAUAUAAGUUGAUAAAGAUAUCGAAGAAUUCAGUUUCGAAAAUGUUUACAUUCCACACCAUUUAAGUGUUCUUCUAAUUUAGU
Long non-coding RNA from Silurus meridionalis, 966 nucleotides. RefSeq lists it as uncharacterized. NCBI's taxonomy places the organism in Eukaryota, Metazoa, Chordata, Actinopteri, Siluriformes, Siluridae. The record is from RefSeq and is a predicted model, not a curated record. The transcript has 5 exons.